GAUGAACGCUAGCGGCAGGCCUAACACAUGCAAGUCGAGGGGCAGCGGGAAAGUAGCUUGCUACUUUUGCCGGCGACCGGCGCACGGGUGCGUAACGCGUAUGUAACCUACCUUAAACAGGGGCAUAACACUGAGAAAUUGGUACUAAGUUCCCCAUAACACUUUGGGAGGCAUCUUCUGAAGUUGAAAGUUCCGGCGGUUUAAGAUGGACAUGCGUUGUAUUAGUUAGUUGGUGAGGUAACGGCUCACCAAGACGACGAUACAUAGGGGGACUGAGAGGUUAACCCCCCACAUUGGUACUGAGACACGGACCAAACUCCUACGGGAGGCAGCAGUGAGGAAUAUUGGUCAAUGGACGCAAGUCUGAACCAGCCAUGCCGCGUGCAGGAUGACGGCUCUAUGAGUUGUAAACUGGCUUUUGUAUGAGGGUAAAUGUAGGUACGUGUACCUAUUUGAAAGUAUCAUACGAAUAAGGAUCGGCUAACUCCGUG
This 491-nucleotide ribosomal RNA is filed under the name uncultured bacterium. Its description in RNAcentral is "bacterial SSU rRNA". It matches the Rfam family "Bacterial small subunit ribosomal RNA", at positions 28 to 507 of the family's 1533-position model. The record is from RNAcentral.